AUGAACGCUAGCGACAGGCCUAACACAUGCAAGUCAGGGGCAGCACAAGGAGCAAUCUGAGGUGGCGACCGGCGCACGGGUGAGUAACACGUAUGCAACCUGCCUGUAAGCGGGGAAUAACCCGUUGAAAGACGGACUAAUACCGCAUAAUACUAAAUUACUGCAUGGUAAUUAUUUAAACAUUUAUGGCUUACAGAUGGGCAUGCGCAUGAUUAGCUAGUUGGAGAGGUAACGGCUCCCCAAGGCAACGAUCAUUAGGGGUUCUGAGAGGAAGGUCCCCCACACUGGUACUGAGACACGGACCAGACUCCUACGGGAGGCAGCAGUGAGGAAUAUUGGUCAAUGGACGAGAGUCUGAACCAGCCAAGUCGCGUGCAGGAAGAAUGUCCUAAUGGAUUGUAAACUGCUUUUGCAGGGGAAUAAAGUGCAUCACGUGUGAUGUUUUGUAUGUACUCUGCGAAUAAGGAUCGGCUAACUCCGUGCCAGCCGCUGC
RNAcentral lists this ribosomal RNA (493 nucleotides) under uncultured bacterium. Its description in RNAcentral is "bacterial SSU rRNA". It matches the Rfam family "Bacterial small subunit ribosomal RNA", at positions 29 to 518 of the family's 1533-position model. The record is from RNAcentral.